AGAGUUUGAUCAUGGCUCAGGACGAACGCUGGCGGCGUGCUUAACACAUGCAAGUUCGAACGAUGAACCGCUUUCGGGCGGGGAUUAGUGGCGAACGGGUGAGUAACACGUGGGCAAUCUGCCCUGCACUCUGGGACAAGCCCUGGAAACGGGGUCUAAUACCGGAUAUGACCGUCUGCCGCAUGGUGGAUGGUGUAAAGCUCCGGCGGUGCAGGAUGAGCCCGCGGCCUAUCAGCUUGUUGGUGAGGUAGUGGCUCACCAAGGCGACGACGGGUAGCCGGCCUGAGAGGGCGACCGGCCACACUGGGACUGAGACACGGCCCAGACUCCUACGGGAGGCAGCAGUGGGGAAUAUUGCACAAUGGGCGAAAGCCUGAUGCAGCGACGCCGCGUGAGGGAUGACGGCCUUCGGGUUGUAAACCUCUUUCAGCAGGGAAGAAGCGAAAGUGACGGUACCUGCAGAAGAAGCGCCGGCUAACUACGUGCCAGCAGCCGCGGUAAUACGUAGGGCGCAAGCGUUGUCCGGAAUUAUUGGGCGUAAAGAGCUCGUAGGCGGCUUGUCACGUCGGUUGUGAAAGCCCGGGGCUUAACCCCGGGUCUGCAGUCGAUACGGGCAGGCUAGAGUUCGGUAGGGGAGAUCGGAAUUCCUGGUGUAGCGGUGAAAUGCGCAGAUAUCAGGAGGAACACCGGUGGCGAAGGCGGAUCUCUGGGCCGAUACUGACGCUGAGGAGCGAAAGCGUGGGGAGCGAACAGGAUUAGAUACCCUGGUAGUCCACGCCGUAAACGGUGGGCACUAGGUGUGGGCAACAUUCCACGUUGUCCGUGCCGCAGCUAACGCAUUAAGUGCCCCGCCUGGGGAGUACGGCCGCAAGGCUAAAACUCAAUGAAUUGACG
Molecule: ribosomal RNA, 894 nt
Filed under: Streptomyces exfoliatus
Lineage: Bacteria; Bacillati; Actinomycetota; Actinomycetes; Kitasatosporales; Streptomycetaceae
Description: bacterial SSU rRNA
Rfam family: Bacterial small subunit ribosomal RNA
Source: RNAcentral